Molecule: small RNA, 507 nt
Filed under: Pan troglodytes (chimpanzee)
Lineage: Eukaryota; Metazoa; Chordata; Mammalia; Primates; Hominidae
Description: processed transcript
Source: RNAcentral
GUUGCUGAAAACCUCCCCCAGCCUGCCUCUUGCCAGCAUGUUCCAUCUUCCUUUUUUAGCACCUACCACCUUCACAUAUAUUAUUUACUUAUUUUUAUUGUCUGUUUCUCCCUGCCACGAGAGACAGAGAUUUUUACCCCUAGCACCUGGAACUGUUCCUGGUAUCAGAGGCAUUAAAAUGUUUGUUGGAUGGAUUAAUGAAUGAGAAGAGAAGGCUGGGCUGAAUGGCUCACGCCUAUAAUCCCAGCACUUUGGGAAGCCAAGAGACUCCUUCAGCAGUCGUCAUUUCUGUCUGGGUGAUUGAGACCCAGCCCAGACCUGAAUGCGGACACUAAAAAGAUUUAAAGACUUUGAGAGUCCCCCAGCUUUCUGACCCUGGCUUUUGUGGAGAGGUCUGGGAAGAUGGGAGAUAGUGAGCUCAAAGAAGGAGAAGAUAAUGGCUUAUGUCCCACAUUUUCUCCCAGGGUUUGUCAAGGGCUAUUUAAUGAGUUACUAGAAAAUGGGAUU